AACCUUAUGGACCUGCGGGCGUAUACCUGCGGAAGGAUCAUUACCAAUUUUUAAUUAUUAGUAUGUGUCACUCGGUCAAACGGGUGUUCACAUCACUACUAAUGUAAACGUUGAACUAGAUCAUUGGUUGUGGAUUGCUUGGGAAUGGAAGAAGCGACAAGCCUCUUCCGGACAGGCAAACCCCACACCGAUAACCUUUUCAUAUAAUUUACUUAUAUAUACUACAAACAACAAACAAAA
Molecule: unclassified non-coding RNA, 240 nt
Filed under: soil metagenome
Description: partial contains 5.8S ribosomal RNA, internal transcribed spacer 2, and large subunit ribosomal RNA
Source: RNAcentral